GACCCGUAAUCCGGGUUGCGGACAGUGUCUGGUGGGUAGUUUGACUGGGGCGGUCUCCUCCCAAAGAGUAACGGAGGAGCACGAAGGUUGGCUAAUCCUGGUCGGACAUCAGGAGGUUAGUGCAAUGGCAUAAGCCAGCUUGACUGCGAGCGUGACGGCGCGAGCAGGUGCGAAAGCAGGUCAUAGUGAUCCGGUGGUUCUGAAUGGAAGGGCCAUCGCUCAACGGAUAAAAGGUACUCCGGGGAUAACAGGCUGAUACCGCCCAAGAGUUCAUAUCGACGGCGGUGUUUGGCACCUCGAUGUCGGCUCAUCACAUCCUGGGGCUGAAGUAGGUCCCAAGGGUAUGGCUGUUCGCCAUUUAAAGUGGUACGCGAGCUGGGUUUAGAACGUCGUGAGACAGUUCGGUCCCUAUCUGCCGUGGGCGCUGGAGAAUUGAGGGGGGCUGCUCCUAGUACGAGAGGACCGGAGUGGACGCAUCACUGGUGUUCGGGUUGUCAUGCCAAUGGCACUGCCCGGUAGCUAAAUGCGGAAGAGAUAAGUGCUGAAAGCAUCUAAGCACGAAACUUGCCCCGAGAUGAGUUCUCCCUGAGACUUUAAGUCUCCUGAAGGAACGUU
RNAcentral lists this ribosomal RNA (615 nucleotides) under Enterobacter hormaechei. RNAcentral's name for it is "partial 23S ribosomal RNA". It matches the Rfam family "Bacterial large subunit ribosomal RNA", at positions 2230 to 2839 of the family's 2925-position model. The record is from RNAcentral. RNAcentral also lists the same sequence under 2 other names. Lineage: Bacteria; Pseudomonadati; Pseudomonadota; Gammaproteobacteria; Enterobacterales; Enterobacteriaceae.